Mus musculus (house mouse) is the source of this 6571-nucleotide long non-coding RNA. RefSeq annotates it as predicted gene, 57779. The record is from RefSeq and is a predicted model, not a curated record. The transcript is spliced from 2 exons. NCBI's taxonomy places the organism in Eukaryota, Metazoa, Chordata, Mammalia, Rodentia, Muridae.
UUAGCUAAUCCGGGUUGCCACUGUGUAAGAAUACCAGAAUGUUAUUUAACUUGUACAGACUUACUUUCCUUUCAUCUCGGACAUUGAAACAAGGAGUCCUAAAAUGAUAGCUCUGUGUGUUUGGAGGUUUUCAUCUGUCUGACUGUCUUUCCCAAUUUUUUCUCUGACUUUUGGGGCCCAGUACUUGAUAUUAGCCUUCCAUCCCCAGGGUCUCAGUAUUAGGCCUGGAGCUGAGAAUUAUAGUGAGUGUGAGACUCUGAUGCAUACAUAGUUCCUGUCUAGCCUUCUGUCUUACGCCCACACACCCUGACUGAGCUCUUUCUUUCUCUUAUUUGCUGCUGUCUACAGCCUUUUCAAGUCCAGGGAGGGGCAUGAUCUGCCAGAUCGAACAGGUUUUGUUUAGGGUACUAACACAGGUUUUAAGAUUUCUUUCUUAGUUAGACAUAGCUCAGAAGGGAAGCCAGCAUAAAGGGAAGCUGGGCAAGCCAUAAAAUAAUAAUUGGAACAGUGAUGACGCCAUUCAGAUUCCCCAGCUGCUGGUAUCUCUUCAUUCUCUCAAAGACAUGAGUAAAUUGUGUUCCUUUACUGAAACACUUGGGUAGAGUAUUUGAACAAAGGAAAUGGGGUCAUUUCAAAAUGUCCAGUAUGCGGUAAUCAAUGCCACUCAGCCUGUGGUGUAAUUAAUGGAAACACUGGCGACAGUCUGCCCAUUGUUUGUCCUUGCACAACAGGAAGUGGCAGGGCACUAGAGAGCCCAAGGAGGUUUACGUAAUGCAGAAGGAAGUGGCUAGAGCUCUGCUCAGCCUGGCUUUCUAACUCCAGCCUGUGGCUCACCUGAGCGCCUUCCUCGUCCUAGCACACAGAGACCAUGCAUUUUGUUGAGAUCACCCUUUGAGUUUUGACCUUAUUUAACAAUAGAUUUUUGUAAAUGUUGUCCCGAGAAACUUACUUUUAGAUCUUAUACAAUUAUAUUUUGUGGCUAGGCAGAACAAAUUAUGGAAAAGAAAAUAUGGUCAGCAGGCUUAACUGUGGACCUGCCUGGGACAGUGCUGUGGUGGCUCUUGGAGUCGGGAGAUCUGGACUUGGGUGUUGGCUGUCCAUGUCAGCUGGGUGACGUGAGGUGAACUGCCUAUGACUCUGGAGCAGCCUUCCUCUAUUAGAGGACAUCUUGCAGGGCUCUCGGCUUUCCCUGCUUUGUGUGAGGUCCAGGUGGUGCCUGUCGGGUGAGGUGUGCAAAGAGAUGCCAGCCCCGCAGUAGCCACUCAGAAUGUCCAUUUUAGAUCUGGUAAUGCAUUACUUACUUUUUUUUUUUUUUUUUGGAAAAAGUAAAUGCUGGUGUUUAUGGUAGAAAUCAAGUGUUUUCUUACUGGAAAACACUAAAAAUUGGUAUAUAGAUUCCUUCAUUGGGGUUUUGAAAACCAUUUGCUUGCUCUGACAUUUGAAUGAAUGGAUUCUAUAAAGAAGAGGAGCAAAAGUUAAGUGGACGCGGCUGCCUUCGAGCUGCCUUACUGGGACAGGUUGGGUGACCUUGGGCGCAUUUUUGUCUUUUCAGAAUCCACUUCCCAUGUUUAGCAGGAAAAUGAUACUUCCCUUGAGGAGUGUCAUGGGACCUAAAGGUAAGGCGUGUAGAAUGUACAGUCGUGUCUGCCAUUUCCCGGAUACUCAGGAGACAGUAGCUGUAACUUGCAAAUUAUCUGUCACACUUGUUAAUAUAAUGAGCGAACCAGAGAAUAUUGUUUACUAGGCUCCAUCUUCCAGGUCACUCUGUGGAUGGCCAAAAGCGCCGGUCCCAACACUGUGUUUGCGUUUUCUGUAAAUCAGCUUAGCUGCGACUUGCUGGAGUGAAGUUUUGUUCUUUAAUUUCCAGAGUUAGAGUCUAUGCGUGAGAAUAAAAGGCUGGACCUUAUUCUGAAAGCUGUUCUUGCAGCCUAUUUAGAAUGAUGGUCUUCAGGACUUUCCUUGGGGAAACAAGGUCACUCCAGAAUAGCAGUAUGUGGUAACACACAGCAUUCAGCCUGUAGUAUAAUUAAUGAGAACAUCUAUCCACUGUCAUUGUGCAAGAGAGAGUCAUUCAGAAAAGAGAACGCUGAGUCUUCCGUGGGAAUGGAAGGGGUGAUCUAAAGGUAGACCAGAAGGCCGGAGAAAACUUAGGUGACCCAGAAAACUUGUGAGUUGAGCAUGGCCCACUCCAGGCUUUCGGUGGUCUGAAUCCCCAUUAGACAUGAAGCGGCAGUGUGACGUGAAUAAAGAGGGGUUGAUGGGCCAUAAUGGGUUGGCGUUGCAUGACAGCGGGGCCACCUGUAGGAAACCUAAUGACCAGGGUGGGUGUAGGAUGGAGACCUUGACGGUGCCUCCAGUCAGGAGCGGAAGAGAAAUAGCCUGACUGCAAAUAUCCUUUCGCUGUAUAUACAUACAUCAAACUGUCCUCCAUAAGGAUUCUUUUUUUUUUUUUUGGUUUUUGAGACAGGGUUUCUCUGUAUAGCCUUGGCUGUCCUGGAACUCACUCUGCAGACCAGGCUGGCCUCGAACUCAGAAAUCUGCCUGCCUCUGCCUCCCGAGUGCUGGGAUUAAAGGUGUGCACCACCAUGCCUGGCAGCUCCAUAAGGAUUCUUAUUUUUUAUUAAAAAAUAAAAGAAGACUGUGGCCAGUACCAGCCAAUGUCAGAACAAGAAAGAAGGGGCUCUGAGAGAGAGGGGUGCUCUGCGUUCUUCAUUGUCCCUUGUCACAAGAAAGCAUGGGGCUGAGCACCCAGCUUCUCUCUUGCUAGUUGCUCUGUGGCCUGCGCUCUCAGUUUCCUUGGGUUUGUAAUGUUUUACUUGGCCACAGUGAUUUGUUUGAGGGCCACUGGGCAGUGUUUAGUUCAGGAUUGCCAAGUGGGUUUCAUCAUCCUGAACUCUAAUCCUUUGCAGUUGGCCACCUGGGGUCCAGUGUCAGGACAGGCUCCCAUUCCAGGUCAGAUUUAGAACAGCCUGUGCUUAGUGCUAUUACAGGUGUGGAAGGAAGUUCGGGUAUUGGGCUUGUUUAUUUGUUAAGACUAAGAUCUGGGUCUCAUAGCUUACCCAUUUCACAGUCUACAGUUCAGUGGUCUCUAGUAAGUCAAGGGUUGUGUAACUAACACAACCAGUUCUACACUUGCCCUAUCCUAGAAACAUGUACACAUUGUCACUCCCCGUUCCCUACCACGUGAUAGGCUCAGGUCUACUGUCUGUCUCUAUACAGUGCCCUUGUGGGGCCUUACUUGUGAAAGCAGUCUUAUGAUAUGUAACCAUUUGUGUCAUGCUUCCUUCACUGAGUGUAACACUGCUGAGGUUUUUCCAAACACUGCUGAGUUUCUGUCAACAUUUCAUUUGAUUUGAUGGCCAAAUGAUAUUCUGGCCUAUGGGCAUACCACAUUUUGCUGUCCCUUCACACUGAUGGACAUGUGGGUUAUUUCUGUGUGUGCCUACUAUGAAGAAUGGUGUUGUGAACACUGAUGUAUAAGGUUGUGCAUAUUUUGGUUUCCUCGUGUAUUUUCCUGGGUGUUAAACUGCUGGUCAGCGAUAACCCUCUGCUUAACUUUGUGAGAAAUUGUCAGAUGGGUCACUGAAGUGGCCAUACCACUUUGCAGGAGGGGCGAGGGUUGCUGGGUUCUCCACACCAUCACCGGCCCUUGCUGGUCUCUCUUUUGAGUUAGGCCUCCUAGUGGAUGAGAAGCAGUCUCCAUGGUUUGAUGUUCCUUUCCCAAAUGACCAGAGACACUACAUCUUCUCAUGGGCUGUGGCUGCGUCUGUCUUCUCUGGGGAAACGAGGAGGCUGUAACCACGCCUCUAGACUCUGCCUACGGGAGUGCUAAUCCUGUAGCUUUGCUAACUGCAGCUCUAAGCAGAUGCAUUGAAGGGAGGUCAGUGAGUGGUAAAACAGUUUUCUUUGAAUGUGGUCAUAUAAUCUAGGAAUUUAACUUUGAGUGUUGUGAAGAACAAAUUUCCAUUCAGUGAGACUUGUUGGAAUAAUAUGAUCUUGUAGUUUAUAGCUCUGUUUACGUCACAUUUGCCUAUAUCAUUUCAUUUGUAUCUUCUAAAAAGGUUUAAUUAUGUGUAUACAUGUAUACCUGUAAGUGGGUACGUGGAUCCAGGGGCAUUGGAUCAUCGUGGGCUGGAGUUACAGAUGGUUGUGAGCCUGACAUCAGUGCUGGGAAUCAAAGACAGGUCUUCUGGAAGAUCAAUACACUCUUAACCACUGAGCUGUCUCUCCGGCCCUCAUUUAUAAUUUUAAUGUCAUUACUGUGAGAUAUAAGAGGCAGGUGCUUCAUUCCUCAUUUUAGAAAAUAGAAGCUAAGACUGGCUUCUGGAAGCCAUACAAGUAGCAGGAUUUAAAUCUAUGAGUUCUCACUUGUGUUAUUUUGUGGCAUAAGUUGACAGAUUACUAGCUUCUGUGAACCUGGAUGCUAAGAAUGUGGGUCAGAGGACAUCUGAGACUUGUGGCCGAGGUUCCCUCACGGACCUGAUGCUCCCACCAAUGUAUUUAAGAAGUGUCUUGACUUAGAGCUUUCUGUUGCCUCUAACUAUAAAUACUUUAUAACUUUAUUAAAUGAUUACAAGUAGAGCGUGGUAUUUGGAGUAACCUAAAUCUGUUCUCAGGCCCCUGUCACUUAUAUUUGGCUCCAGAACAAACUCUGAGGUAAAAACUGUUUUGUGUUGGGAGCAUCCAUCAUCAAGUAGGCAAAUCUGGUUAUGGCCAGGUCCCAUAGACUAUCGCUGACCUAACAAUUCACUGAGUGGUUUUCAUUUUCCCUCUCAGCUCUUCAGGAAGAGAGCAGAGUUGUGCAUCCCUGCAUGUUUUUGCAUUGUCUGUCCAGAUAGAGAGGGAACAAAGCCAGCAUGGAGGUGGAACUGGGAAGAUGACACACAGCCACUGGUCAGCCAGCCUUGUCCCCCAUGGCCUCUUGCUCCCUGGUGCCACAUUCUAGUGCCUUCUCCUUGGGAGGAAGGAGUUCUGUGCAGAGAAGCUAAACAGACUCUCCUCAGUGUCUAUCCUGCACUGUACCAGCCAUCUCUCGAGGAACAUCUAGGCUGACUACUCUUUUGUAAACACAUGGAUUUACUUCUGGGCUCGUCCAUUGGUUGAUGUGUGUGUUUUGACUUCUCUAGCUUCAUAGUACAUCUUAGAGUCAGGUAUGAUAACACCUCUAGCUCUGUGCUUUCCUCUAGGGCUGCUCUGCUCAGGCUCCACUGUGGCUCAGUGAGGUUUUCGCAGCACUUUUCCUGUAUCCAUACAGAAUGUCCCUGGUUACGAUAGGACUUGAUGUUUUUUUUUUUUUGUUUUUUUUUUUGUUUUUUUUUAAAGAUUUAUUUAUUUAUUUAUUUAUUUAUAAUAUGUAACUACACUGAAGCUGUCUUCAGACACCCCAGAAGAAGGAAUCAGAUCUCGUUACGGAUGGUUGUCAGCCACCAUGUGGUUGCUGGGAUUUGAACUCAGAACCUUCAGAAGAGCAGUCAGUGCUCUUAACCACUGAGCCAUCUCACCAGCCCUCCUACCCCCUUUUUUUUUUUAACAUUACUUGCCAAUACUAAUUGGUUUUCUGGAUACAAGUCUAUUAAAUGUAUGUGUUGUGGAUAUUUUUUGUAUGUGGCUUGCCUUUUUCUUUUCUAUUUUCUAUCUACGUGUGGGGCACCAUGGUGUGUGUAUGGUGGUCCUUUGAAACAUCCUGCUACCAGAGGCAGUGUGUGGAGUGGAGGACGAGGUCUGACGAGGUCUGACUGAACCCUGAGCUCCUGAGGGCAGCAGCAUCGCCUUUUUACUGUGCUGAUGUUGCAGAAAGCCUGGCACUGCAGAGACUCCUGUACACUGAGAGACUGCUGCCCUCUCAGGCAGGCACUGCUCUGGCCCACAAAGUCACCCGGGCCUCUAGUUUACCUUACCUGUAGUUCUCCCUGCGCUGCAGCAGAGCGGAGGAGACCUGAGGAGACAAAGCAGUCCAUGAGCGUCACACUAGCAGUUGGCGACUGAGAAAAGUUCCAACUGAGGGGCCUUUCAUGACUGACGGCCACCAUAAUGCACUAGAACACAGCAGGGCAAGGGGUUUCAAACGCAAGUUGUAGAGAAUAGACAGUAGUUCACUGUUUAUUGGAAAAUCAAAUUGUUUGUUUAAAUAGUUGGGGCUUCUUGUGGAAGUUCCCGUAACCUAGUUACUCCAACUUUUCUCUUUCUGGGUCUGCCUGUGUUUCCUGGAACAGUGCAGCCUCACUAGUAGCCAGUGGAGCGUCAUCUACUGUGUGCAGUGAGUGGUCUCGUUAGCAGCCAGUGGAGCGUCAUGCUACUGUGCGCAGUGAGUGCUGUGGGUAGAAGGAGUCUGGGUUUGAGUGUCUCUGUCCGUGGGAGCCAGCAUGGCACAGGGCAUGUCCUAAGAGUCACUCCACUGGGCAGUAUCCGCAUGCCCAGCUGGACAUGGGGCCAUGAAGUGUGUGCAUCGGAACAAACACUUUACAAGAUGGUUGUAAAAGCACUGAGCUGCGUGUCAGGGCUGAUGAGUUGAUUGCCAGGCCCUUUCGCCAUGGCCCACAGGAGCCUCUGAGGUCAGUUAGGUAAACUCCAA